GUUCCUGCAGGAUCUCAGGGGGGUUCUGGGUGGUUCUUGAAGGAUCUCAGCAUGUUUAGGUUGGUUCCAGGAGGAUCUCAGGAGGUUUUGGGUGGUUCCUGCAGGAUCUCAGCAGGUUUAGGUUGGUUCCUACAGGAUCUCAGCAGGUUCCUGCAGGAUCUCAGGGGGGUUUAGGUUGGUUCCUGCAGGAUCUCAGGGGGGUUUAGGUUGGUUCCUGCAGGAUCUCAGGAUGUUCUGGGUGGUUCCUGCAGGAUCUCAGGGGGGUUUAGGUUGGUUCCUGCAGGAUCUCAGCAGGUUCCUACAGGAUCUCAGCAGGUUCUGGGUGGUUCCUGCAGGAUCUCAGCAGGUUUAGGUUGGNAUUGGAGACUCCAUCGCCGACGCCAAGACCUACCAGGACAUCCAGAACACCAUCAAGAAGGCCAAGCAGGACGUGAUCGAGGUGGGGCUUGGGGAGGUUCCUGCAGGAUCUCAGGGGGGUUUUGGUUGGUUCCUGGAGGAUCUCAGGGGGUUCUGGGUGGUUCUUGGAGGAUCUCAGCAGGUUCUGGAUGGUUCUUGGAGGAUCUCAGCAGGUUCUGGAUGGUUCUUGGAGGAUCUCAGCAGGUUCUGGAUGGUUCUUGGAGGAUCUCAGCAGGUUCUGGUUGGUUCCUGCAGGAUCUCAGCAGGUUCUGGGUGGUUCCUGCAGGAUCUCAGGAGGGUUUAGGUGGUUCCUGCAGGAUCUCAGCAGGUUCCUGGUGGAUCUCAGCAGGUUCCUACAG
This 755-nucleotide long non-coding RNA is filed under the name Zonotrichia albicollis (white-throated sparrow). RNAcentral describes it as "lncRNA (ENSZALG00000000996.1)". Lineage: Eukaryota; Metazoa; Chordata; Aves; Passeriformes; Passerellidae. The record is from RNAcentral.